UCCUCCCUCUUUCUUCGUGCUUAACACAUGCAAGUCGAACGGAAAGGCCCCCUUGUGGGGUACUCGAGUGGCGAACGGGUGAGUAACACGUGAGUAACCUACCCCUGACUUUGGGAUAACUUCAUCAAACUGGGGCUAAUACCGCCUAGGAGCUCCUGCUGCAUGGUGGGGGUUGGAAAGUUUCGGCGGCUGGGGAUGGACUCGCGGCUUAUCAGCUUGUUGGUGGGGUAGUGGCUCACAAAGGCUUUGACGGGUAGCCGGCCUGAGAGGGUGGCCGGCCACAUUGGGACUGAGAUACGGCCCAGACUCCUACGGGAGGCAGCAGUGGGGAAUAUUGCACAAUGGGCGGAAGCCUGAUGCAGCAACGCCGCGUGCGGGAUGACGGCCUUCGGGUUGUAAACCGCUUUCGCCUGUGACGAAGCGUGAGUGACGGUAAUGGGUAAAGAAGCACCGGCUAACUACGUG
RNAcentral lists this ribosomal RNA (465 nucleotides) under uncultured bacterium. Its description in RNAcentral is "partial 16S ribosomal RNA". It matches the Rfam family "Bacterial small subunit ribosomal RNA", at positions 36 to 507 of the family's 1533-position model. The record is from RNAcentral.